GCCUGGGUGGCUCAGUCGGUUGAGCAUCCGACUUCGGCUCAGGUCAUGAUCUCACGGUCUGUGGGUUCGAGCCCUGCAUCGGGCU
RNAcentral lists this transfer RNA (85 nucleotides) under Felis catus (domestic cat). It matches the Rfam family "tRNA". From Rfam's summary of the family: Transfer RNA (tRNA) molecules are approximately 80 nucleotides in length. Their secondary structure includes four short double-helical elements and three loops (D, anti-codon, and T loops). The record is from Rfam by way of RNAcentral. Lineage: Eukaryota; Metazoa; Chordata; Mammalia; Carnivora; Felidae.